This 244-nucleotide ribosomal RNA is filed under the name uncultured bacterium. RNAcentral's name for it is "partial small subunit ribosomal RNA". It matches the Rfam family "Bacterial small subunit ribosomal RNA", at positions 26 to 285 of the family's 1533-position model. The record is from RNAcentral.
AGAAUCAACGCUGGCGGCGUGCCUAACACAUGCAAGUCGAACGAGAAAGUGGAGCAAUCCAUGAGUACAGUGGCGUACGGGUGAGUAACACGUGACUACCUACCCUCGAGUGGGGAAUAACCUCGGGAAACCGGGGCUAAUACCGCAUAAUGUCUUCGGACCAAAUGCGUAAGCAGCUUGAGGAGGGGGUCGCGGCCGAUUAGCUAGUUGGUGAGGUAAUGGCCCACCAAGGCAAUGAUCGGUA